GGGGAUGUAGCUCAUUUGGUAGAGCGCUUGACUGGCAGUCAAGAGGUAGCCAGUUCGAUUCUGGUCUUCUCCA
This 73-nucleotide transfer RNA is filed under the name Lutibacter sp. Its description in RNAcentral is "tRNA-Ala". It matches the Rfam family "tRNA". From Rfam's summary of the family: Transfer RNA (tRNA) molecules are approximately 80 nucleotides in length. Their secondary structure includes four short double-helical elements and three loops (D, anti-codon, and T loops). Lineage: Bacteria; Pseudomonadati; Bacteroidota; Flavobacteriia; Flavobacteriales; Flavobacteriaceae. The record is from RNAcentral.